This 460-nucleotide ribosomal RNA is filed under the name uncultured bacterium. RNAcentral describes it as "partial 16S ribosomal RNA". It matches the Rfam family "Bacterial small subunit ribosomal RNA", at positions 338 to 795 of the family's 1533-position model. The record is from RNAcentral.
CCUACGGGCGGCUGCAGUGAGGAAUAUUGGUCAAUGGACGAGAGUCUGAACCAGCCAAGUAGCGUGAAGGAUGACUGCCCUAUGGGUUGUAAACCUCUUUUAUAAAGGAAUAAAACGAGGCACGUGUGCCCUUUUGCAUGUACCUUAUGAAAAAGGAUCGGCUAACUCCGUGCCAGCAGCCGCGGUAAUACGGAGGAUCCGAGCGUUAUCCGGAUUUAUUGGGUUUAAAGGGAGCGUAGGUGGGUUGUUAAGUCAGGGGUGAAAGUUUGGGGGUCAACCGUAAAAUAGCAAUUGAUACUGGCAGUCUUGAGUACAGUAGAGGUAGGCGGAAUUCGUGGUGUAGCGGUGAAAUGCUUAGAUAUCACGAAGAACCCCGAUUGCGAAGGCAGCUUACUAGACUGUGACUGACAUUGAUGCUCGAAAGUGUGGGUAUCGAACAGGAUUAGAUACCCCUGUAGUC